UACAGAGGGUGCGAGCGUUGUCCGGAAUCACUGGGCGUAAAGGGUGCGUAGGCGGGCCUUUAAGUCAGGGGUGAAAUCCUGGAGCUCAACUCCAGAACUGCCUUUGAUACUGAGGAUCUUGAGUUCGGGAGAGGUGAGUGGAACUGCGAGUGUAGAGGUGAAAUUCGUAGAUAUUCGCAAGAACACCAGUGGCGAAGGCGGCUCACUGGCCCGAUACUGACGCUGAGGCACGAAAGCGUGGGGAGCAAACAGG
Molecule: ribosomal RNA, 253 nt
Filed under: uncultured bacterium
Lineage: Bacteria
Description: partial 16S ribosomal RNA
Rfam family: Bacterial small subunit ribosomal RNA
Source: RNAcentral